RNAcentral lists this small RNA (123 nucleotides) under Halopseudomonas aestusnigri. RNAcentral's name for it is "Pseudomonas aestusnigri Pseudomon-1 RNA". It matches the Rfam family "Pseudomon-1/ErsA RNA". From Rfam's summary of the family: Functions to regulate the AlgC enzyme. Based on this information, the new name ErsA for the RNA was adopted. Lineage: Bacteria; Pseudomonadati; Pseudomonadota; Gammaproteobacteria; Pseudomonadales; Pseudomonadaceae. The record is from RNAcentral.
AUGCUCCUUAGAUGUGAUUUAGUGUUGGCAGAAAAACCGGGCACUCCCUUUCCUAGCACAGCCCGGUUAGUUGAACCCCGAGCCUCCCUCCCCAUAGAAGCUCGGGGUUUUUUUUACGUUUUU